Molecule: ribosomal RNA, 560 nt
Filed under: uncultured marine Phaeocystaceae
Lineage: Eukaryota; Haptophyta; Phaeocystales; Phaeocystaceae
Description: SSU rRNA
Rfam family: Eukaryotic small subunit ribosomal RNA
Source: RNAcentral
UGCCCGAAUCCUGACACAGGGAGGUAGUGACAAGAAAUAACAAUACAGGGCUACUUCUAGUCUUGUAAUUGGAAUGAGUACAACUUACAUCUCUUCACGAGGAUCAACUGGAGGGCAAGUCUGGUGCCAGCAGCCGCGGUAAUUCCAGCUCCAGAAGCGUAUAUUAAAGUUGUUGCAGUUAAAACGCUCGUAGUCGGGUUUCGGGUCGGGCCGAGCGGUCUGCCGAUGGGUAUGCACUGUUUGGCGCGGCCUUCUUUCCGGAGACCGCGGCUACUCUUAACUGAGCGGGCGUGGGAGACGGAUCGUUUACUUUGAAAAAAUCAGAGUGUUUCAAGCAGGCAGCUCGCUCUUGCAUGGUACAGCAUGGGAUGAUUGAAUAGGACUCCGGUGCUAUUUUGUUGGUUUCGAACACCAGGAGUAAUGAUUAACAGGGACAGUCAGGGGCACUCGUAUUCCGUCGAGAGAGGUGAAAUUCUCAGACCAAUGGAAGACGAACCACUGCGAAAGCAUUUGCCAGGGAUGUUUUCACUGAUCAAGAACGAAAGUUAGGGGAUCGAAGA